UAGAACAGCCAUCUGAGCACAAACAGAGGACAGUCCAGUCCCUCUCCGGGGCUGGGGACACAGGCUGGCUGGAAGGACCUCUUGCAAGUCUACCUUGGUGCAGUACUAGAAAGAGGUAUGGAGAGAAGUGAACAUGUGGGAGAAGUACUCAGGAAGUAGAAACUUGUUACAGCCACCAGAUAAAGCUCAGACUCUUUAGCCAGCAGCAGACUCUGCCUUUCCUCCAGCAUCUGCAUCCUCCCAUCCACAUUGAUGGGCCUCUCUACUCCCAUCUGUGGACCCAGCAUCUAAGACCAGUCAUAACCUUAUGCAGAAGGAAUGAAAAGACCUCAGCUCAGCGCUCUGGAAUGGAGCAUCAGACUUCUGCUCCUCCUCAGAGUCAGGCCCCCGUGUUCCAGAGUUUGGAAGUCUGCCCAUGAACCUGAGCUUAGCGGCUGGAGCCUGCUGACUGCUGACCGACAUUCUUAUUCCCUCCCUGCUGAAGACAUUUCUUAGGGCCACCUGGUGCUAGAUUUUCUAGUACCAGCACCUCCCAGCCUCAAGAUCUGUCAGCCACCUCCCAACAUCAGCUCCACUCACCCAGGCAAGUAGAGUGACCACCUUGUCAUCUGCUGCCAUAUUCCUCUGAGUCUCCCUUCCAACACCUUGUCUGCAGCCUAGACUUGCCCCAAAGCUCCUACCCCAGCCCCCCAGCAGAUCUAGCCUCUGCCAGCUUGCUCUGUCUUUGGCAGUGAACCCGGCCAUUUCUAACAAUGUCUUGAGCUAUAACAAUUAACCGUCAAGGCCCUGCAAAUUUCCACCCACCCACCACUGAAACUUCCUCCUCCCUAAGCUUGUGUACCCUUUACUCCAGUCAAAAUCAUCUCCCUGUCAUUUGCCAUUCAUGCCCCACGACACUUACUGACCUCCCUGAUUCACUCCAUCCAACCACUCAGCCUGGAAAGGGCCUUCUCCCAUUCCAUCCCCAUUUCCUGAGGGAUUCUUACUAAAUAUUAAGCCCCCAAACAUGACAAUCUGUAAUCUCCUCCCCAUCCUGACUGGAAAUGACAGCCCUCUCCUCUGAACUCCUCCAGUUCAUUAUCUGGAUUUCCAGUAUGGCUUUUAUUACAUUCUUCCUUCUUGCAAAUGUCUUAUCUCCCCAAGAAUAUA
This is a long non-coding RNA of Odocoileus virginianus texanus, 1149 nucleotides long. RefSeq lists it as uncharacterized. Lineage: Eukaryota; Metazoa; Chordata; Mammalia; Artiodactyla; Cervidae. The record is from RefSeq and is a predicted model, not a curated record.